AACGAACGCCGGCGGCAUGCCUAACACAUGCAAGUCGAACGAGACCUUCGGGUCUAGCGGCGCACGGGUGCGUAACGCGUGGGACCCUGCCCUUAGGUUCGGAAUAACCCCCCGAAAGGGGUGCUAAUACCGGAUAAUGUCUUCGGACCAAAGAUUUAUCGCCCUUGGAUGCGUUCGUAUUGGAUUAGCUAGUUGGUAGGGUAAAAGCCUACCAAGGCGACGAUCCAUAGCUGCUCUGAGAGGAUGAUCAGCCACACUGAGACUGAGACAAGGCCCAGACUCCUACGGGAGGCAGCAGUGGGGAAUAUUGCACAAUGGGCGAAUGCCUGAUCCAGCAAUGCCUCGUGAGUGAUGAAGGCCUUAGGGUUGUAAAGCUCUUUUACCCGGGAUGAUAAUGGCAUUACCGAGAGGAUAAGCUCCGGCUAACUCCGUG
This 433-nucleotide ribosomal RNA is filed under the name uncultured bacterium. Its description in RNAcentral is "partial 16S ribosomal RNA". It matches the Rfam family "Bacterial small subunit ribosomal RNA", at positions 29 to 507 of the family's 1533-position model. The record is from RNAcentral.